Molecule: ribosomal RNA, 253 nt
Filed under: uncultured bacterium
Lineage: Bacteria
Description: partial 16S ribosomal RNA
Rfam family: Bacterial small subunit ribosomal RNA
Source: RNAcentral
CACGUAGGGGGCAAGCGUUAUUCGGAAUUAUUGGGCGUAAAGGGCGCGUAGGCGGCAUGGCAAGUGGAUGGUGAAAUCCCUCGGCUUAACCGAGGAACUGCCGUCCAAACUGCUUCGCUUGAGACCGGGAGAGGUGAGUGGAAUUCCCAGUGUAGCGGUGAAAUGCGUAGAUAUUGGGAGGAACACCAGUGGCGAAGGCGGCUCACUGGACCGGUACUGACGCUGAGGUGCGAAAGCGUGGGGAGCAAACAGG